Oncorhynchus keta (chum salmon) is the source of this 652-nucleotide long non-coding RNA. RefSeq lists it as uncharacterized. NCBI's taxonomy places the organism in Eukaryota, Metazoa, Chordata, Actinopteri, Salmoniformes, Salmonidae. The record is from RefSeq and is a predicted model, not a curated record. The transcript is spliced from 3 exons.
CAGCCAGAGAUAAAGAAUUGGCUGACAGAGGAAGAAGAGUGGCUGGGAGAGGGGGAGGAGUACGUAUGCGUGGAGGAAGAAGACGGAGAGGAAGAUCAAGAGCUGUAGUCUCAGAUGAGAUUAGAGCUACUAUAAUUGAUCAUAUAAUAAAUCAUGAUCUAUCAAUGAGAGAGGCUGGUCUGAGUGUGCACCCAAAUCUGCAACGCUCAACAGUGGCAUCUAUUUUGAGAAAUUUCCGGCAAAACAACAGGACCCAACGGUUACUUCCUACACACGGGAGAGGUAGGAUUUUCACUGCUGUGCAGGAAACUGCAAUCGUUGAUGUGGUCAUCAGAAACAAUGGCAUAAAGCUCACAGAGAUUCGGGAGGAGUGUUGGCAGACAAUGACAACAACCCAGAGGAGAGUGAUGGAGUGCUGCAUCAGAUGACCUGGCCUCCAAAAUCACCUGACCUCAACCCAAUUGAGAUUUGGGAUGAGUUGGAGUGAAGGAGAAGCAGCCAACAAGUGCUCAGCAUAUGUGGGAACUCCUUCAAGAAUGUUGAUUUGUUUAACACUUUUUUGGUUACUACAUAAUUCCAUAUGUGUUAUUUCAUAGUUUUGAUGCCUUCACUAUUAUUCUACAAUGUAGAAAAUAGUGCAAAUAAAGAAAAA